This 31-nucleotide non-coding RNA is filed under the name Mus musculus (house mouse). The record is from RNAcentral. Lineage: Eukaryota; Metazoa; Chordata; Mammalia; Rodentia; Muridae.
UCCCUGAGAUAAGUCAAGAAUAGUAUCCGAA